UAUAUAUAUGUUUCACAUUUGAACUGAAUUACUGGAAAAAAGUAACUUUUCAAUUAUAUUUUAAUUUUUUUAAAAGCACUAGUAUAUUAAUUUAUAUAUUCUGCGCCGGGGCUUUUAUUAUGAAGUGGCGGAUUAGCCUGUUUCUUAACUGGCGAUGCUAACGGUGUUUCGGAGCUGAAUUAAUCCUAUUUAUUAACAGCAGGUGGACGGAGCUGUGCUGGUUAAAUUAGUAGGUUCUGGGGUUUGUUAUAAUGUGUGAAUUAUGGCUUUAAUUCACUCCAGUCUUUAGUUAUUUACCUCAGAAUCCCGGCAUGCAGCUAUCGGCUCAAUGCUAGGUAACAGCCGAGCUCAGCAGUGCGGGUUGGAGCGUGUUAGCCUGGAUGCUAACUGGAUAUGGACAAUGCACGUCCACAUACUGCUGCCAGCUCAAAUCUGCAGGAUCUGAGUGAGAAUAUUCCAGCUACAUGGGAUGGAUUAUUACAGGACUCCAUUAGGAACCUCUACAACUCCAGGCUGAGACUUUUGGCAUGUUGCAUUACACAUACUUAAUGACGAUGAGCAAGAGAUUCUCAAAUCAGUCAAAUGUUUAUCAAAUUUAUCAUUAAAUUUUUUCUAGUAAC
Astyanax mexicanus (Mexican tetra) is the source of this 620-nucleotide long non-coding RNA. RefSeq lists it as uncharacterized. The record is from RefSeq and is a predicted model, not a curated record. The transcript has 2 exons. NCBI's taxonomy places the organism in Eukaryota, Metazoa, Chordata, Actinopteri, Characiformes, Acestrorhamphidae.